CUACGGGGUGCACCAGUCGAGAAUAGUCUACAAUGGACGAAAGUCUGAUAGUGCGACGCCGCGUGGAUGAAGAAGCAUUUCGGUGUGUAAAGUCCUUUUCUGUGUGAGCAAUGUUUUCCAGGUUAAUAGCUUGGAGAAAGCGAUAUUAACACAGGAAUAAGCUCCGGCUAACUCCGUGCCAGCAGCCGCGGUAACACGGGGGGAGCAAGCGUUGUCCGGAAUUACUAGGCGUAAAGGGUAAGUAGGCGGAAUUGUAAGUCAGAUGUUAAAGGCACCGGCUCAACCGGUGUAUGGCAUUUGAUACUGUAAUUCUAGAGUAAGGUGGGGGAAGACGGAAUUCCUGGUGUAGCGGUGGAAUGCGCAGAUAUCAGGAGGAACACCAGAGGCGCAGGCGGUCUUCUAUACCAUUACUGACGCUCAAUUACGAAGGUGUGGGUAUCAAACAGGAUUAGAUACCCGGGUAGUC
Molecule: ribosomal RNA, 466 nt
Filed under: uncultured bacterium
Lineage: Bacteria
Description: partial 16S ribosomal RNA
Rfam family: Bacterial small subunit ribosomal RNA
Source: RNAcentral